RNAcentral lists this ribosomal RNA (514 nucleotides) under uncultured bacterium. RNAcentral describes it as "partial 16S ribosomal RNA". It matches the Rfam family "Bacterial small subunit ribosomal RNA", at positions 28 to 523 of the family's 1533-position model. The record is from RNAcentral.
GACGAACGCUGGCGGCGUGCCUAAUACAUGCAAGUCGAGCGGACCGAAGGGAGCUUGCUCCUUUAGGUUAGCGGCGGACGGGUGAGUAACACGUGGGCAACCUGCCCUGCAGACUGGGAUAACUUCGGGAAACCGGAGCUAAUACCGGAUAACACCGAAAACCGCAUGGUUUUCGGUUGAAAGGCGGCUCUUAGCUGUCACUGCAGGAUGGGCCCGCGGCGCAUUAGCUAGUUGGUGAGGUAACGGCUCACCAAGGCGACGAUGCGUAGCCGACCUGAGAGGGUGACCGGCCACACUGGGACUGAGGCACGGCCCAGACUCCUACGGGAGGCAGCAGUAGGGAAUCUUCCGCAAUGGACGAAAGUCUGACGGAGCAACGCCGCGUGAGCGAAGAAGGUCUUCGGAUCGUAAAGCUCUGUUGUCAGGGAAGAACAAGUACCGUUCGAAUAGGGCGGUACCUUGACGGUACCUGACGAGGAAGCCACGGCUAACUACGUGCCAGCCGCCGCGGUAA